RNAcentral lists this long non-coding RNA (747 nucleotides) under Callithrix jacchus (white-tufted-ear marmoset). Its description in RNAcentral is "lncRNA (ENSCJAG00000084804.1)". The record is from RNAcentral. Lineage: Eukaryota; Metazoa; Chordata; Mammalia; Primates; Cebidae.
AGGCUGACAGUGGUGAUUCCCUUCAACAAAUGGUCGUGGUGGGAGGGUACGCACACACCCCACACACAGCGACACACACACACACACACACACACGCACACAGCGCCCAGACUCCGAUUUCAGCGCUGGCAGGAGAUAACCAUUCUCAGCUCGCCUUUCCAGGGUUAUUUUUGGCUGGGGCUGUUCGCUGAUGGCAAAAGGUUUCAGCCCCCUCCCAACUCCUCCCCGUCCUUGUUCAAAAGAGAAACUGGUGCUUGUAGGCUGCGCACUCCCAGAGAGACCGGGAGAGGGGCCGGGGUGCGGGAGAGGAACCAGGGCUCUGCCCAAAGUCUCGUGGCCCGCCGGCUGUUUUGGCUGUUUUCUGCCGGAGGGUGUGCCCUGGAGAGCUGCGAGCACCAGGGAAGGCUGGGGCCCGGCGCUGGUGGAAGCGUCACCUGGGUCGGGCUAGCAGGCCCUGGAAUCCGGCUUUUGGGACACCCCGAAAGCGAGUCCAACUUGGGAAGGCAGCAGAGAAGAGGCCGGCCCGCGGCCCACCGGCCUCUUCGAGGGCCAGCGCAACUACCUGCCCAACUUCAUCCAGAGCGUGCUGUCCAUCGACCUGCGCGACCGCCAGGGCUGCACCAUGGUGGUGGGCAGCGACGGCAGGUACUUCAGCAAGACGGCCACCGAGAUCGUGAUGCAGAUGGCUGCAGCCAACGGGAUUGGAUGACUGAUUAUUGGACAGAAUGGCAUCUUGUCGACACCUGA